ACCUUUUUAGUAUAAAUAAUAUAAUUGACUUCCAAUCAAUAGAUCUUUUAACAAAAGAUAAGGUA
Molecule: transfer RNA, 65 nt
Filed under: Urochela rubra
Lineage: Eukaryota; Metazoa; Arthropoda; Insecta; Hemiptera; Urostylididae
Description: tRNA-Gly
Source: RNAcentral